GCCGGCGUAACUCAGUUGGUAGAGUAUCUCACUCGUAAUGAGAAAGUCAGCGGUUCGAAUCCGCUCGCCGGCUCCA
RNAcentral lists this transfer RNA (76 nucleotides) under Desulfobacter postgatei. RNAcentral describes it as "tRNA-Thr". It matches the Rfam family "tRNA". Rfam says of the family: Transfer RNA (tRNA) molecules are approximately 80 nucleotides in length. Their secondary structure includes four short double-helical elements and three loops (D, anti-codon, and T loops). Further hydrogen bonds mediate the characteristic L-shaped molecular structure. tRNAs have two regions of fundamental functional importance: the anti-codon, which is responsible for specific mRNA codon recognition, and the 3' end, to which the tRNAs corresponding amino acid is attached (by aminoacyl-tRNA synthetases). tRNAs cope with the degeneracy of the genetic code in two manners: having more than one tRNA (with a specific anti-codon) for a particular amino acid; and 'wobble' base-pairing, i.e. permitting non-standard base-pairing at the 3rd anti-codon position. Lineage: Bacteria; Pseudomonadati; Thermodesulfobacteriota; Desulfobacteria; Desulfobacterales; Desulfobacteraceae. The record is from RNAcentral.